CACUAGCCAGCUAGUCCGGAGGAUGUACACCCCAGGAGUGGAAACAAGGAUAGAGGCCCUGUAAGACCUUAAUGGACUGUCCUUGAGUGGAUGCCCAAGCAAACUCAUUUCCUGUCAGCAUCCCCUGCUAAUGCACCUCUGCCUGCAGUUAUCACCGAGGUCUAAAGACUCCACUGCAGAGGGUGUGUUCUGAGAGCACAACGCCAUCUUCUGGCAGAGUUCCUGGGAGAAAGGAAACCUUGAAAGAGCACUGCAGUGAACUGGUUCUGGAAAAACCACACUGGCCCGAGAAUCUCAUUUUCCUCCUCUUUUAGAAUUUUGUUGUUCAUCUGAAGACAAGAGAAAGGCCUGAUGGUUGGAAACUGGUCUAAAAUAAAAAUAUGUGUGAUAAACAAUUAGAAUACCUCACAUUCCAGAACUAGGAAGAAAAUGCUAAAUCCCAGUUCAAGUUCUGAGAAUCUCAGAGGCCAGAGAAAUGACUCAGGGCUUGACAGAACUUGCUGAUCUUGCAGCUGCCUCAGGCUCAGUCCCCAGCAUCCACAUGCAGGCUCACAACUCCAGCUGUAACUCCAGUUCCAAGGGACCUGGCACCCUUCUGGCCUCUGUAAGCACUAGACACACACAUGGUGUGCAUACGUAUAUACAAGCAAAACACUCGAACACAUAAAAUAAAGGUAAAUGUCUGAGGAUCUCUCUUA
Long non-coding RNA from Mastomys coucha (southern multimammate mouse), 698 nucleotides. RefSeq lists it as uncharacterized. The transcript has 2 exons. The record is from RefSeq and is a predicted model, not a curated record. Lineage: Eukaryota; Metazoa; Chordata; Mammalia; Rodentia; Muridae.